GUAGUCCACGCCGUAAACGAUGAAUGCUAGGUGUUAGGGGUUUCGAUACCCUUGGUGCCGAAGUUAACACAUUAAGCAUUCCGCCUGGGGAGUACGGUCGCAAGACUGAAACUCAAAGGAAUUGACGGGGACCCGCACAAGCAGUGGAGUAUGUGGUUUAAUUCGAAGCAACGCGAAGAACCUUACCAGGUCUUGACAUCCCUCUGACCGGUACAGAGAUGUACCUUUCCUUCGGGACAGAGGAGACAGGUGGUGCAUGGUUGUCGUCAGCUCGUGUCGUGAGAUGUUGGGUUAAGUCCCGCAACGAGCGCAACCCUUGAUCUUAGUUGCCAGCACUUUAAGGUGGGCAC
RNAcentral lists this ribosomal RNA (350 nucleotides) under uncultured Paenibacillus sp. RNAcentral describes it as "bacterial SSU rRNA". It matches the Rfam family "Bacterial small subunit ribosomal RNA", at positions 790 to 1138 of the family's 1533-position model. The record is from RNAcentral. Lineage: Bacteria; Bacillati; Bacillota; Bacilli; Caryophanales; Paenibacillaceae.